RNAcentral lists this long non-coding RNA (419 nucleotides) under Anser brachyrhynchus (Pink-footed goose). RNAcentral's name for it is "lncRNA (ENSABRG00000004989.1)". The record is from RNAcentral. Lineage: Eukaryota; Metazoa; Chordata; Aves; Anseriformes; Anatidae.
GAAGAGAACUAAUUGGAAUACUGUAUCGAUGACGCAGCUUUGAAGUCACUGCUCCAGGCCAAAGUUUCCAUUCAACCCCGAACCUGAGGAAUUCAAGCCUGAACGAGCACUGAAGUUGAAGUAACUUCUCAAAGGCAAUGUUUGGUCUCUUCAUCUCUGUGUGCCCUCUUUAGUUAUUUCUCUCUGAAGUUCAGAGAAAAAUGAAUAAUGGAAAGUAUUCAGCUGAAUCUCAACUUAAAGAAAACAAAAGCUUGAAGUGAAGAUGUUUCUGUUAAAGAGAAGAGGGAACUCUUCUCUAGUUACAGAGGUACAGAAACUGAACUGAUUAGUUAAAAAAAAAAUAUAUAUCGUUAAAUGUCCUGUAUUUUUGGGAAAAUUAUCAAAUAAUUUGAUAAUCCAUUUAAAAAUUAUUUUGAAAC